UUGGUCCUACGGGGGGUAGCAGUCGGGAAUAUUGCGCAAUGGAGGAAACUCUGACGCAGUGACGCCGCGUGCAGGAAGAAGGUUUUCGGAUUGUAAACUGCUUUAGACAGGGAAGAACAAGGACAGUACCUGUAGAAUAAGCUCCGGCUAACUACGUGCCAGCAGCCGCGGUAAUACGUAGGGAGCAAGCGUUAUCCGGAUUUAUUGGGUGUAAAGGGUGCGUAGACGGGACGACAAGUUGGUUGUGAAAUCCCUCGGCUUAACUGAGGAACUGCAACCAAAACUAUCAUUCUUGAGUGCUGGAG
This 305-nucleotide ribosomal RNA is filed under the name uncultured bacterium. RNAcentral describes it as "bacterial SSU rRNA". It matches the Rfam family "Bacterial small subunit ribosomal RNA", at positions 333 to 654 of the family's 1533-position model. The record is from RNAcentral.